UUUGUCUUAUCUACAAUUAAAAUUAUUUGAAUAAGUGUUCGCAAAUAAUAAUUUUGUAAUGCUUUUUUCAUAUGAGCUCUUAGCUUAGAUUCAACUACAAACAACAUUCUAUGCCUAACCAGUGUAACGGCCAACUUAAUAGAAUAACAAAAUAAUUAAUAAGUGAAUAAUAAUGAGUAAAUAUUAACAAUGAGUUAAUCUUUUAAUUACCCUUUUAAAUUGUGAAAAUAGACAGAGUUAAAAUCUAUAAUUAAUUGUCAACCCUUGAAUCGUGAAAUUUGUGACGGUGAAGUUGAUCACUUGUGGCCGCGGGAUGUAAAGAUCCAAAAAACACAAGAUAUCUUCGUCUCCUGUAUUAGCAAAUAUCUAUAAUUGGUGGUGUUUUGCCAUAAAUUUCAAUUUAAAAAUGGUUUCGUUCAACACCUUUUGUGCGGAUAAACAACAUUAAAAUUAACAUUAUUUGAAUUCAAUCUCCUGUAGCCGUUGAAACGCCAUAGCAAGUUUUAUUCAAGAAAAUUCAAGAUGUGAUCUAAAAUCAAUCGUUCACUACGUGGUCAAAUAAACAUGAGAUAUUGAUCGAAAUAUUUAUAUAUAAAAGUGUAUUUUUAUUUGCAAAUUUUUACAACAUUGAUCUAAGUUUCUCCAAUACAUUGAUAUGAUUACGUUUGGGUAACAAUACAUUUUGUGUUGAUCAGUACUUGGUUUUAUCAAAUUGGAAAUU
Molecule: long non-coding RNA, 721 nt
Organism: Tetranychus urticae (two-spotted spider mite)
Lineage: Eukaryota; Metazoa; Arthropoda; Arachnida; Trombidiformes; Tetranychidae
Source: RefSeq, a predicted model, not a curated record